Long non-coding RNA from Oncorhynchus gorbuscha (pink salmon), 222 nucleotides. RefSeq lists it as uncharacterized. The transcript has 3 exons. The record is from RefSeq and is a predicted model, not a curated record. Lineage: Eukaryota; Metazoa; Chordata; Actinopteri; Salmoniformes; Salmonidae.
CUUCAAAGCGUUAGGUUGUGACGAUCUGAUUCGCUUAGUCUUUGAGUUUGGGAAGAGCAUGUCUGUCAUCCAUCUCUCUGAGGAGGAGAUCGCUCUCUUCUCAGCGUACGUCCUGAUGUCUGCGGAUCGGACGUGGCUUCAGGAGAAGGUGAAGGUAGAGAAGCUGCAACAGAAGAUCCAGCUGGCUCUCCAACAUGUCCUUCAGCAGAGCGGCAGAGAGGA